AUGAACGCUAGCUACAGGCUUAACACAUGCAAGUCGAGGGGCAGCAUGAACUUAGCUUGCUAAGUUUGAUGGCGACCGGCGCACGGGUGAGUAACACGUAUCCAACCUGCCGAUGACUCGGGGAUAGCCUUUCGAAAGAAAGAUUAAUACCCGAUGGCAUAGUUCUUCCGCAUGGUAGAACUAUUAAAGAAUUUCGGUCAUCGAUGGGGAUGCGUUCCAUUAGGUUGUUGGCGGGGUAACGGCCCACCAAGCCUUCGAUGGAUAGGGGUUCUGAGAGGAAGGUCCCCCACAAUGGAACUGAGACACGGACCAAACGCCUACGGGAGGCAGCAGUGAGGAAUAUUGGUCAAUGGACGAGAGUCUGAACCAGCCAAGUAGCGUGAAGGAUGACUGCCCUAUGGGUUGUAAACUUCUUUUAUACGGGAAUAAAGUGAGGCACGUGUGCCUUUUUGUAUGUACCGUAUGAAUAAGGAUCGGCUAACUCCGUG
This 488-nucleotide ribosomal RNA is filed under the name uncultured bacterium. RNAcentral's name for it is "partial 16S ribosomal RNA". It matches the Rfam family "Bacterial small subunit ribosomal RNA", at positions 29 to 507 of the family's 1533-position model. The record is from RNAcentral.